RNAcentral lists this unclassified non-coding RNA (212 nucleotides) under Hevea brasiliensis (rubber tree). The record is from RNAcentral. Lineage: Eukaryota; Viridiplantae; Streptophyta; Magnoliopsida; Malpighiales; Euphorbiaceae.
GCAUAAGCAGUUCAUGCUGUGCUGCUUGUGUAUAACAAGCCGACCAGAAGCACGGCUAACACGGCAGUACUACUGUUCUUUGUAUAAAGGUAUUUGAUUAUGAUGGAUUCCAUUUGAUUAGUCAUGCAAAGAUAUCUUCGUUUAUUUUUGACACUUGACAUUGUUGAUGGAGACGUUGCCAAUAAUUGCAUGCCUCGUCAGUUAUCCAAAAU